GCUCCCAUGGCGUAGUGGCUCGUGCGCUCGCCUUGCACGCGGGAGACUCGGGUUCGAUUCCCGGCGGGGUCA
Molecule: transfer RNA, 72 nt
Filed under: Diaphorina citri (Asian citrus psyllid)
Lineage: Eukaryota; Metazoa; Arthropoda; Insecta; Hemiptera; Psyllidae
Rfam family: tRNA
About the family: Transfer RNA (tRNA) molecules are approximately 80 nucleotides in length. Their secondary structure includes four short double-helical elements and three loops (D, anti-codon, and T loops).
Source: Rfam by way of RNAcentral